UCUUCUUCUAGGCCCUUGUUUCCAUCCUCCAGAGUGGGCAGGAUGUCCUCAGAAGGUGUCCGAAAAUAGUGCAUGGUCGUCGGACUGACCGUCGGGGAUCGGGAGGCCGUAAUUCUUCCAGAGAUUCAUCUUCACUCACUGUCUCAUCUUAAGAAAUGGCUGGGGAAAAGAAAUCUGCAGCUGCACAUAGACACUAUCUACUCUGUCCAGUUUGUUUGAGGACCCAAGAGUCUCUAUCCUGUCACCUGCGCAGAGUCUGCAUGAAGGAUAAGACACCACCACAGAUCCUAGAGGUGGUUGAAAAGGCCAAGAAAGAUGUGUGUGACCUCCUGAAGAAUGGACGGGCUUUUAGUUAUGCAGUCCUGAAGCAAAUCGUCUCAUCACCGUUUCUUUCUUUUAUU
Long non-coding RNA from Gadus chalcogrammus (walleye pollock), 401 nucleotides. RefSeq lists it as uncharacterized. The record is from RefSeq and is a predicted model, not a curated record. NCBI's taxonomy places the organism in Eukaryota, Metazoa, Chordata, Actinopteri, Gadiformes, Gadidae. The transcript has 3 exons.